UGAGGCUGUGAUGAAGGUUGAUAAGUGC
RNAcentral lists this non-coding RNA (28 nucleotides) under Mus musculus (house mouse). The record is from RNAcentral. Lineage: Eukaryota; Metazoa; Chordata; Mammalia; Rodentia; Muridae.